This is a long non-coding RNA of Phyllopteryx taeniolatus (common seadragon), 227 nucleotides long. RefSeq lists it as uncharacterized. NCBI's taxonomy places the organism in Eukaryota, Metazoa, Chordata, Actinopteri, Syngnathiformes, Syngnathidae. The record is from RefSeq and is a predicted model, not a curated record. The transcript has 3 exons.
GCCAGCGGGGAGCGGACGUGGGCGGCGGGGUCUCGGGCCUCGCCCCGCAGCCGCGUGAUGUUGCCCUCCAGGAAGCGCCGCUGCACGAUGCUCGCCCAUCUGUGAAGAAGCUCAGCUCCACGCCGUCGUUGGACCAGGGAGUCGUUUUUGGCAGCCGUGUGACGGUCUUUGGACGUGCCCAGUCUCUUGAGACCGUCCAGGGGCAGCAGGUCAGCCGAGUCCUUGUG